CAAUGAUCCUGAUAUUAUUACGCCGACUGCGGCCCUCCAGGUCUGCUGUUUUGGCCUUGAGUUUAGCGUAGUUCUCAGUCAGAUCGGCGCACACUGCCUCCAGAGAGUGAAUUCGCUCGCUGAGGUCAUCUGCGUUAGAUUCCAAUGAUGUUAUUCGUGUACCAUGGUCCGACACCGAAGCCUGGAUGAGGUCAAGUUUUGCCUCUAAAGAUGUCAAAGCAGUUUUGAAAUCGGAAGAGAGCGCGGCUCUGUGUUCCUCCAAUAGGCUAGUCAAAGCGGACAUGCUAACCUCGCCAUGAGCCGCGAUAGCGUCGUCUUUUGUGUCUUUCUUCGCAUGCUUGGUUGCUUUGGAUGCCAUUUUCUGCUUCCGUGUAUAUUAAAGUUGUUAUCUCAUUACUUUCAGGAAAAAUAAACUAGGAGAGGAUUAUGAACUGAUAGAAUAAAAGAUUUGUACAGGGAGCACGAGGUAGACGCGUCUACUCCAUUCGCAUCCAAAACCGGAAGUCGAUGACCCCUUUCUAUCAGUACCAGCAUUAACCUUUUCAGCAAUUUGAGCUACGCUGUGUGCACAAUUAUUAGGUGAUAUGUAUUUGUAGUCAACUGGGGUGCAAAAAUGCAUGGAGAAGAAAAGACACAAAUCAACUGCAAACGACUUGAGUGGAAUAAAACAUUAUUCCAGUGCCACCAUAUUCCAGAAGUGCAAGGUGUCAAGUGCUCAGAGACAUGGCCAUGGUAAAGAAGGCUGAAAGAAGACCACUGAAUAAGAUUCACAAUUUUAUAUGGACAGAUGAAAUGAGUCACUCUUGAUGGACCAGAUGGAUGGGCCCGUGGCUGGAUCACUAAUGGACCCAGGGCACCACUUUGAGUCUGGGGCCAGCAAGGUGGAGGAGGGGUACUGGUAUGGGCUGCUAUCAUUAAGGAUGAGGUAGUUGGACUGUUUCAGGUUGAAGGUGGACUGAAACUCAACUCCCAUACCUAAAUUUUGUGUUACUUAUUUGUUGCACUUCCUCAAAACAUUUUAAAUAAACAAGGGAGUUGGAGAAAUAAUUUUUUGUUUUUGAGUAAUUAUGUUGCCUAAUAAUUUUGCACACUAACUGUUGCCUUAUAAUUGAGCACACUUAUGUAUUCCCCUG
Long non-coding RNA from Esox lucius (northern pike), 1133 nucleotides. NCBI's taxonomy places the organism in Eukaryota, Metazoa, Chordata, Actinopteri, Esociformes, Esocidae. The record is from Ensembl.